GUGUAGCCAUUGCCCCGGCGAGCUAACUCGUCAAACAUCCCCAACAGCUGGGGCACCAGAUCCGUACUUGUUCCUGGAACACGAAGAGAUGUAACUUGUGGAAUUGAGUAAGCAGAAAGUCGAAAGUAGGUAACAGUUCUGUAAGAUUCUGUCCGAGAUUGGAAGAUUACUUAAUUCUCCGAAGCAGCGAUUCUCAAUCAUCGUGUUCGCGUAUCUUCGAUGGUAUGGCAUUUUUUAAUCUUUUCAUUCGACGAUCCAUUCGCUCUUUAAUUUUCGUCUCAAUGGUGCACGAUUACGCGAAGAUUACAAAUUUCUGCUCAAAGGAUAAAAGCAAACACUCGAUAGGUAAAUUGAUCGACUCUGUUUUACGAGAAUUUGAAGUUUAGUUAUUAAUUGUUUAAUGUUGCCAUCAGAAUGCGUUAUUUAUUACUUAAUUCUUCAUAAAUUGUGCAAUUAAACUUGGCGGAAUUGAUCAACUUAGCUUCUGCGUGACUCCAAUGUUUAUUCGUAGAAAUAUGUGUAUUUAAUUUUCUAGGGUUCCCUAGAUGAAUAGGAUUCCCUAGAGUUUCAUUAAAAUCAGUGUUAGCUAAGAUUACAGAGAGUGUAACACCGCAAGAGGAUCGAAAAGAAACAUCGAACGCUGUUUCCUUAAAAAAUCUUUGCCAAUACAAUUUUUGAUUUUCCUGCUAAUAUUUCAUCAAUUUUUGUUCUUACACUCGCAUAAAAUUCAGAUUGAAGAAUUACACCUAAUUUCGACACACAUUCCCCCCCAAAAUAUAGAGAGAGUUUCAGAAGAUACUUCGAUGUUUAUCGAUAUUGCCAAAUAUUAUUACCAACUAAAUAUUGUUAUUAUCAUUUCAAAAUAUGAUUUACCCUA
Molecule: long non-coding RNA, 877 nt
Organism: Bombus impatiens (common eastern bumble bee)
Lineage: Eukaryota; Metazoa; Arthropoda; Insecta; Hymenoptera; Apidae
Exons: 2
Source: RefSeq, a predicted model, not a curated record